GAUGAACGCUGGCGGCGUGCCUAAUACAUGCAAGUCGAGCGAACAGACGAGGAGCUUGCUCCUCUGACGUUAGCGGCGGACGGGUGAGUAACACGUGGAUAACCUACCUAUAAGACUGGGAUAACUUCGGGAAACCGGAGCUAAUACCGGAUAAUAUAUUGAACCGCAUGGUUCAAUAGUGAAAGACGGUUUUGCUGUCACUUAUAGGUGGAUCCGCGCCGCAUUAGCUAGUUGGUAAGGUAACGGCUUACCAAGGCAACGAUGCGUAGCCGACCUGAGGGGGUGAUCGGCCACACUGGAACUGAGACACGGUCCAGACUCCUACGGGAGGCAGCAGUAGGGAAUCUUCCGCAAUGGGCGAAAGCCUGACGGAGCAACGCCGCGUGAGUGAUGAAGGUCUUCGGAUCGUAAAACUCUGUUAUUAGGGAAGAACAAAUGUGUAAGUAACUAUGCACGUCUUGACGGUACCUAAUCAGAAAGCCACGGCUAACUACGUG
RNAcentral lists this ribosomal RNA (497 nucleotides) under uncultured bacterium. RNAcentral's name for it is "partial 16S ribosomal RNA". It matches the Rfam family "Bacterial small subunit ribosomal RNA", at positions 28 to 507 of the family's 1533-position model. The record is from RNAcentral.